UUCUCAUAUUUGCUCUCUUUUGGUCUCACAAUUUUAUAAAAACUAAUGAUUCCAAAAUGGUUAUUGGGGCAAGGUCGAACUUGGUUCUUAGAAGUUCCUUAUGCAUACUUUUAACCACUGAACUUAAGAAAACCGUUUUUGUAUUUAUUGAGUUAUUGCGACACGGAGUGCCCGGUAAGGUGCUAGUUAUUAAAAUCCAUUUUCACUAUAAUGCUCACGAGACCAUUCACGAAUUCAUUUAGGGUUUAGUUGUGAGUUAGAGUUUUGGAGGGAAAGGGAGAACAAGGUUAGAUAUGUAGUGUUAAAGUUUGAACUUUUACACUACAAACCUUUUCAUCUCCUCCCCUUCAAAAUCUCAACUCACAAACAAAGGGGAGGAAUGAAAGGUUUUAGCUUGUUACAAAACAUGAAUGUUCAAGGUACCAAGUUUGCUGCUAUUUAUUCAACACUUCAUUUCUUAUUUCCUUGGCCUGUACCUUAAUAUCAGUAGUACAAAUUCCAAACAUAUGGA
Non-coding RNA from Arachis ipaensis, 511 nucleotides. NCBI's taxonomy places the organism in Eukaryota, Viridiplantae, Streptophyta, Magnoliopsida, Fabales, Fabaceae. The record is from RefSeq and is a predicted model, not a curated record.